GAAGGUGAAAGAUUUAUCGCCUAGGGAAGGGCUCGCGGCUGAUUAGCUAGUUGGUAAGGUAAAGGCUUACCAAGGCGACGAUCAGUAGCUGGUCUGAGAGGAUGAGCAGCCACACUGGGACUGAGACACGGCCCAGACUCCUACGGGAGGCAGCAGUGGGGAAUUUUCCGCAAUGGGCGAAAGCCUGACGGAGCAAUACCGCGUGUGGGAGGAAGGCUCUUGGGUUGUAAACCACUUUUCUCAGGGAAGAAUAGAUGACGGUACCUGAGGAAUAAGCAUCGGCUAACUCCGUGCCAGCAGCCGCGGUAAUACGGAGGAUGCAAGCGUUAUCCGGAAUCAUUGGGCGUAAAGCGUCCGCAGGUGGCCUAUCAAGUCUGCUGUCAAAGCGCAGAGCUCAACUCUGUAAAGGCAGUGGAAACUGGUAAGCUAGAGUACGGUAGGGGUAGCGGGAAUUCCCAGUGUAGCGGUGAAAUGCGUAGAUAUUGGGAAGAACAUCGGUAGCGAAGGCGCGCUACUGGGCCGAAACUGACACUGAGGGACGAAAGCUAGGGGAGCGAAAGGGAUUAGAUACCCCUGUAGUCCUAGCCGUAAACGAUGGAAACUAGGCGUGGCUUGUAUCGACCCGAGCCGUGCCGAAGCUAACGCGUUAAGUUUCCCGCCUGGGAGUACGCACGCAAGUGUGAAACUCAAAGGAAUUGACGGGGGCCCGCACAAGCGGUGGAGUAUGUGGUUUAAUUCGAUGCAACGCGAAGAACCUUACCAAGGCUUGACAUGUCGCGAACCCUGCUGAAAGGUGGGGGUGCCUUAGGGAGCGCGAACACAGGUGGUGCAUGGCUGUCGUCAGCUCGUGUCGUGAGAUGUUGGGUUAAGUCCCGCAACGAGCGCAACCCUCGUUUUUAGUUGCCAGCAUUAAGUUGGGCACUCUAGAGAGACUGCCGGUGACAAACCGGAGGAAGGUGGGGAUGACGUCAAGUCAGCAUGCCCCUUACGUCUUGGGCAACACACGUACUACAAUGGUCGGGACAAAGAGCAGCGACCUCGCGAGAGUAAGCGAAUCUCAUCAAACCCGGCCUCAGUUCAGAUUGCAGGCUGCAACUCGCCUGCAUGAAGGAGGAAUCGCUAGUAAUCGCAGGUCAGCAUACUGCGGUGAAUUCGUUCCCGGGCCUUGUACACACCGCCCGUCACACCAUGGAAGCUGGCCACACCCGAAGUCGUUACCCUAACCUUUCGAGGAGGGGGACGCCGAAGGUAGGGCUAGUGACUGGGGUGAAGUCGUAACAAGGUA
Molecule: ribosomal RNA, 1285 nt
Filed under: metagenome
Description: bacterial SSU rRNA
Rfam family: Bacterial small subunit ribosomal RNA
Source: RNAcentral